GAUGAACGCUAGCGGGAGGCCUAACACAUGCAAGCCGAGCGGUAUUGUUUCUUCGGAAAUGAGAGAGCGGCGUACGGGUGCGGAACACGUGUGCAACCUGCCUUUAUCUGGGGGAUAGCCUUUCGAAAGGAAGAUUAAUACUCCAUAACAUAUUGAUUGGCAUCAAUUAAUAUUGAAAGCUCCGGCGGAUAGAGAUGGGCACGCGCAAGAUUAGCUAGUUGGUGAGGUAACGGCUCACCAAGGCGAUGAUCUUUAGGGGGCCUGAGAGGGUGAUCCCCCACACUGGUACUGAGACACGGACCAGACUCCUACGGGAGGCAGCAGUGAGGAAUAUUGGUCAAUGGGUGCAAGCCUGAACCAGCCAUCCCGCGUGAAGGACGACUGCCCUAUGGGUUGUAAACUUCUUUUGUAUAGGGAUAAACCUACCCUCGUGAGGGUAGCUGAAGGUACUAUACGAACAAGCACCGGCUAACUCCGUGCCAGCAGCCGCGGUAAUACGGAGGGUGCAAGCGUUAUCCGGAUUUAUUGGGUUUAAAGGGUCCGUAGGCGGACUUAUAAGUCAGUGGUGAAAGCCUGUCGCUUAACGAUAGAACUGCCAUUGAUACUGUAAGUCUUGAGUAUAUUUGAGGUAGCUGGAAUAAGUAGUGUAGCGGUGAAAUGCAUAGAUAUUACUUAGAACACCAAUUGCGAAGGCAGGUUACCAAGAUAUAACUGACGCUGAGGGACGAAAGCGUGGGGAGCGAACAGGAUUAGAUACCCUGGUAGUCCACGCCGUAAACGAUGCUAACUCGUUUUUGGGCUUUAGGGUUCAGAGACCAAGCGAAAGUGAUAAGUUAGCCACCUGGGGAGUACGCUCGCAGGAGUGAAACUCAAAGGAAUUGACGGGGGCCCGCACAAGCGGUGGAUUAUGUGGUUUAAUUCGAUGAUACGCGAGGAACCUUACCAAGACUUAAAUGGGAAUUGACAGCUUUAGAAAUAGAGCUUUCUUCGGACAAUUUUCAAGGUGCUGCAUGGUUGUCGUCAGCUCGUGCCGUGAGGUGUUAGGUUAAGUCCAGCAACGAGCGCAACCCCUGUCACUAGUUGCCAUCAUUCAGUUGGGGACUCUAGUGAGACUGCCUACGCAAGUAGAGAGGAAGGUGGGGAUGACGUCAAAUCAUCACGGCCCUUACGUCUUGGGCCACACACGUAAUACAAUGGCCGGUACAGAGGGCAGCUACACAGCGAUGUGAUGCAAAUCUCGAAAGCCGGUCUCAGUUCGGAUUGGAGUCUGCAACUCGACUCUAUGAAGCUGGAAUCGCUAGUAAUCGCGCAUCAGCCAUGGCGCGGUGAAUACGUUCCCGGGCCU
RNAcentral lists this ribosomal RNA (1345 nucleotides) under uncultured bacterium. Its description in RNAcentral is "bacterial SSU rRNA". It matches the Rfam family "Bacterial small subunit ribosomal RNA", at positions 28 to 1381 of the family's 1533-position model. The record is from RNAcentral.